Cyprinus carpio carpio is the source of this 1323-nucleotide long non-coding RNA. Lineage: Eukaryota; Metazoa; Chordata; Actinopteri; Cypriniformes; Cyprinidae. The record is from Ensembl.
UUUUUUUUUUUAACUGUUGUAUGAAAUUAAUAUCAUUUGCGAUCGUGCUCGCAUGCUAAUAUUCAGAAAAACUGCACUCUAUCUGAACUGAUAUUACUUAACUAUAUCUUAUCUUAUAAAUAUGAACAACAACAACGACAACAAAAAACAUACAAGAUUUUAUUAUUAUUUAUUUUAUCUUCAUAACGCACUGAAUGCUUUUGGAUUUUCCAAAUGUGUGUUUUUGUGUGUGUGAGUGAAGUAAGUGACUACUCAUUAAAAUCAACUUAAUUUUCUGUAAAGUUGCUUUGCAAUGAUUUGUAUCGUAAAAAGCGCUAUACAAAUAAACUUGAAUUGAAUUGAAUUGAAUUAAAAAUGCCACAUUAACACUGUUAAAAAAAAAAAAAAACUUAACUAAAUUUUUAAGUGGACUUUAGGAUAAUAAAACACUACAAAAGUUUACACCACACCAGUGAAAUGCAUUCACCCAGAAAACUGUGUCAUACAGUCUCUUGUAAUUUACAGCUUUUACUUUAAAAUAUCUUGCAGUCUGCACUAAACUUAUCUGGCUGAAUUUAUGUAGAGAUUGAGUUUAGCCAUUAAAAGCUCUGGGUUGCAUUUAUGGUUCACGGUAGUUUGUUCACACAGCUUGAAAAAAAAAGAGAAGUGGUACUGUGUAUUUUUUAUUUUUAUUGAUUAAAAGCAUUGCAUUGAUUUCCUGUCCUCUUUCCUUUCACAGAUGUAAAUGCAUGCAGUAUGCAGUUGUGUUUUUGUAAAAGACAUUUGUACAUCUCUGUGAAUGAAGGAAACAGCAUAACAAGGAAACUCCAGGAGUCUGCGUCUUCCUUCAGGGACAGUGAAGUAGACAUUUAAGCCAACAAAGUCUGCUCAUUGUAUGGCAAUCAAUUUGUAAUUAGCUUAGCAGAUGCUCCAUGCGAUAAGGAAGAUGCAGUUUCCUUGAUCUCAAAGGGAUGGAGUGUUGUACACUAGUACCGCUGGCAAAAAAAUAGACGUGCUUGUCAAUUCUGAAGUGAGAGCAACAAACCAAACGCGCAUUGACAUGUCUUCUGUGAGAGCCGAGGAGAAUGAGUGACAUAUGCCAGAACUACUCCUCUAAAUGAAACCCCUCACAGUGCUUUGUACAACCUGUGCUUUUAAUAAAAGAAAUCUAGGACAUGAAGGCUUUGCAGACUUCAAAAGGAAACAUUACUUCCCUUAGGGCCCGUGCACUGCUAAAAAACACGACGGAGAGGAAGUGUUCGUUCUGCAGGGUCCAGUAGAUUGCUCCCUGCUGUGCCAAUUCUGCAAAAACAGUGAGGAUAUGGAUGCUCAGCUCAGAGGUGA